This 253-nucleotide ribosomal RNA is filed under the name uncultured bacterium. RNAcentral's name for it is "partial 16S ribosomal RNA". It matches the Rfam family "Bacterial small subunit ribosomal RNA", at positions 524 to 776 of the family's 1533-position model. The record is from RNAcentral.
UACGUAGGGUGCAAGCGUUGUCCGGAAUUAUUGGGCGUAAAGAGCUCGUAGGCGGUUUGUUGCGUCGGCUGUGAAUUCCCGAGGCUCAACCUCGGGUCUGCAGUCGAUACGAGCAAACUAGAGUGUUGCAGGGGAGACUGGAAUUCCUGGUGUAGCGGUGAAAUGCGCAGAUAUCAGGAGGAACACCGGUGGCGAAGGCGGGUCUCUGGGCAACAACUGACGCUGAGGAGCGAAAGCGUGGGGAGCGAACAGG